Non-coding RNA from Scophthalmus maximus (turbot), 69 nucleotides. The record is from Ensembl. Lineage: Eukaryota; Metazoa; Chordata; Actinopteri; Pleuronectiformes; Scophthalmidae.
AGUAACGUCAGCUAAUUAAGCUUUUGGGCCCAUACCCCAACCAUGCAGGUUAAAAUCCUACCGUUGCUG